This 1004-nucleotide small RNA is filed under the name Histoplasma ohiense. Its description in RNAcentral is "hypothetical lncRNA". The record is from RNAcentral. Lineage: Eukaryota; Fungi; Ascomycota; Eurotiomycetes; Onygenales; Ajellomycetaceae.
GGCGGGUGUGGGCGAUGGGCGUGGCUGGUAGUGGCGAUAAGCGCAGUGCCCAGCGCGGGAACGGAUUAUCUGUUUCUCCCGGUCCCAGCUGAACCCGUGGCCGCAGAACUUCUGGUCACGAGAGUGUCACGAGCGGGCUCGGUAGCGGGCCCGAUAAGGCAACCCAAGCGAGGACCGAAGGGACCCGGAACGAGGGAGGUUGGAGUGAGCCGUGGUGGGAGCCGUGUAGACAGCUGUGGACGAUGGGUGAGGGUGCAAAGUAUAUCUACCUCCUCGCUGGAAUUGGAGGUUGUUGACAGUGUUGACGGAUGUAGGUGGCUUGCCUUACCCUGGGUGAUAAUGCCCAGGUACUGGGUCUGUGUGGGUCGGGCUUGGAUAUUGAUGGUAUAAUCGCAAUAGCCACAAAAUAAGAAUGUCGAGUUGCAGAACCUGGAGAGAAAGAGCGUGACGACAGAAGUAAGGAAGAGUAAGGGAAUAAGGGUAAAUAAGAUAUAUCCCACGACAAGGAGGUGCCUGCUUCUGGUGUGUGUAUUAAUAGAUUUACUGCCUGCACAGCAGCGAGACCUCAAAACUCUCUCUUGUCUCUGCCUCUCUAGCUCUCUCGCAGUUCGUUUUUUCCCCUGCCUAUUUAUAUCUCCUCCUUUUCUUUCUUUCUUUCUUCCUUCCUUACUGUCCUUCCGUCCUUUUUCUUCUUUCUCGCGAUAUAUCAAUCGUUCUCUAUCCCCGUUGUCUACCUUUGGCACAGCAGAGACCUCUCGCAGUCGUAGCAAUUGACUUUUGACAAGGGCAUGCGGCUUGGCGGAAGCGACGACAAUCGGAAAACGACGCUUAUGUAACAAAAUGAUCGACUCCGGGAUACCUAACUAGCUAACCAGUAUGGAGACCUCCAGCCUGGCCUAGAUCCCACCAACUUAAGCAUAUCAAGGGGUAUGGAUGGGGGAUAGCCUUCAUCAGCUAGCUCUAAUCUACCAAAUGUCAUGUAUAUGUACCCUGGACAUGCACAG